CCUACGGGGGGCUGCAGUGGGGAAUAUUGGACAAUGGGCGAAAGCCUGAUCCAGCCAUGCCGCGUGUGUGAAGAAGGCCUUCGGGUUGUAAAGCACUUUCAGUGGGGAAGAAAGCCUUGGGGCUAAUACCCUCGAGGAAGGACAUCACCCACAGAAGAAGCACCGGCUAACUCCGUGCCAGCAGCCGCGGUAAUACGGAGGGUGCGAGCGUUAAUCGGAAUUACUGGGCGUAAAGCGCGCGUAGGCGGUCUGAUAAGCCGGUUGUGAAAGCCCCGGGCUCAACCUGGGAACGGCAUCCGGAACUGUCAGGCUAGAGUGCAGGAGAGGAAGGUAGAAUUCCCGGUGUAGCGGUGAAAUGCGUAGAGAUCGGGAGGAAUACCAGUGGCGAAGGCGACCUUCUGGACUGACACUGACGCUGAGGUGCGAAAGCGUGGGUAGCAAACAGGAUUAGAUACCCUAGUAGUC
Molecule: ribosomal RNA, 465 nt
Filed under: Vreelandella stevensii
Lineage: Bacteria; Pseudomonadati; Pseudomonadota; Gammaproteobacteria; Oceanospirillales; Halomonadaceae
Description: partial 16S ribosomal RNA
Rfam family: Bacterial small subunit ribosomal RNA
Source: RNAcentral